AGAGUUUGAUCCUGGCUCAGGACGAACGCUGGCGGCGUGCUUAACACAUGCAAGUCGAACGAUGAACCACUUCGGUGGGGAUUAGUGGCGAACGGGUGAGUAACACGUGGGCAAUCUGCCCUGCACUCUGGGACAAGCCCUGGAAACGGGGUCUAAUACCGGAUACUGACCAUCGAGGGCAUCUUUGAUGGUCGAAAGCUCCGGCGGUGCAGGAUGAGCCCGCGGCCUAUCAGCUUGUUGGUGAGGUAAUGGCUCACCAAGGCGACGACGGGUAGCCGGCCUGAGAGGGCGACCGGCCACACUGGGACUGAGACACGGCCCAGACUCCUGCGGGAGGCAGCAGUGGGGAAUCUUGCACAAUGGGCGAAAGCCUGAUGCAGCGACGCCGCGUGCGGGAUGACGGCCUUCGGGUUGUAAACCGCUUUCAGCAGGGACGAAGCGGAAGUGACGGUACCUGCAGAAGAAGCCCCGGCCAACUACGUGCCAGCAGCCGCGGUAAUACGUAGGGGGCGAGCGUUGUCCGGAUUUAUUGGGCGUAAAGCGCGCGUAGGCGGCUGCUCGAGUCGGUAGUGAAAACUCAACGCUUAACGUUGGGCUUGCUGUCGAUACUGGGUGGCUGGAGUCUGGUAGGGGGGUCUGGAAUUCCUGGUGUAGCGGUGGAAUGCGCAGAUAUCAGGAGGAACACCGGUGGCGAAGGCGGGGCCCUGGGCCAGUACUGACGCUGAUGCGCGAAAGCGUGGGGAGCAAACAGGAUUAGAUACCCCAGUAGUCC
This 772-nucleotide ribosomal RNA is filed under the name uncultured Streptomyces sp. RNAcentral's name for it is "bacterial SSU rRNA". It matches the Rfam family "Bacterial small subunit ribosomal RNA", at positions 8 to 796 of the family's 1533-position model. The record is from RNAcentral. Lineage: Bacteria; Bacillati; Actinomycetota; Actinomycetes; Kitasatosporales; Streptomycetaceae.